GCCAUCAGGUCUUGUACAUGUUGCCGUUUUCAAAUCGAUUCUAUCUUGAAUACUUUUUGAGAAAAAUGUAAAAGAAAGAAAUUGCUUCAAGGGGACAUAAUUCUCAUAGGGAAUGACGAAAUCCUUAGCAGCCUCACAUGGUAACACAUCAUGAUGAGAUCUAACUAUUGUCCAAAUAAGGUCAUGAUAUCUUCAAAAACAACGAGGGGGG
RNAcentral lists this long non-coding RNA (211 nucleotides) under Mytilus galloprovincialis (Mediterranean mussel). The record is from RNAcentral. Lineage: Eukaryota; Metazoa; Mollusca; Bivalvia; Mytilida; Mytilidae.